Molecule: long non-coding RNA, 204 nt
Filed under: Elaeis guineensis (African oil palm)
Lineage: Eukaryota; Viridiplantae; Streptophyta; Magnoliopsida; Arecales; Arecaceae
Description: long non-coding RNA (EGUI_LNC004969)
Source: RNAcentral
CCCUGUAAAAGGCAGCGCCUCUAGUGAUCAUGUCGAAAUUUUAUUAUGUGGGAUCUGAAAUAGCUUGCUCAAAUAGAAAAUUUCUAUCUCAAGUGAGACUUUGAUUGAGUGUAACUUCUAGUUGAGAAAAAUCCAUCAAUAGAAGGAAUAAUUGAUCUAAAAGUUGAGAUCUUACAUAAAUUUAAUUUUUUUUUAAAUUAUUUC